Molecule: ribosomal RNA, 434 nt
Filed under: Burkholderia sp. oral taxon A72
Lineage: Bacteria; Pseudomonadati; Pseudomonadota; Betaproteobacteria; Burkholderiales; Burkholderiaceae
Description: bacterial SSU rRNA
Rfam family: Bacterial small subunit ribosomal RNA
Source: RNAcentral
AUUGAACGCUGGCGGCAUGCCUUACACAUGCAAGUCGAACGGCAGCACGGGGGCAACCCUGGUGGCGAGUGGCGAACGGGUGAGUAAUACAUCGGAACGUGUCCUGUAGUGGGGGAUAGCCCGGCGAAAGCCGGAUUAAUACCGCAUACGCUCUACGGAGGAAAGGGGGGGAUCUUAGGACCUCCCGCUACAGGGGCGGCCGAUGGCAGAUUAGCUAGUUGGUGGGGUAAAGGCCUACCAAGGCGACGAUCUGUAGCUGGUCUGAGAGGACGACCAGCCACACUGGGACUGAGACACGGCCCAGACUCCUACGGGAGGCAGCAGUGGGGAAAUUUUGGACAAUGGGGCGAAAGCCCUGAUCCAGCAAUGCCGCGUGUGUGAAGAAAGGGCCUUUCGGGUUGUAAAAGCCACUUUUGUCCGGAAAGGAAAACCCC